Molecule: long non-coding RNA, 2102 nt
Organism: Clupea harengus (Atlantic herring)
Lineage: Eukaryota; Metazoa; Chordata; Actinopteri; Clupeiformes; Clupeidae
Source: Ensembl
CAUCUGGUCCACGAAGUCGUCACCAAGCUUUGCACUCUGGGAUUUGUGGUUUGUAGCAGAUCCAGUAGGACAUGAAGACCAAGAAAUGCACCAACAAAUCCCAUAAUGCAUGCGGCACCUCUGCAGCUAGCGCUCACACGAAAUGCAGCCGCGCGCCUGUUGCUCAGUCUUUAGCUGGAUCGCCGCUGAACGUGAACUACCUCGUGUGUCUACCGGGCAGAUGGAUGUGUCUACCGUGCAGAGAGAUGUGUCUACCGUGCAGAGAGAUGUGCAGCCUUCGUGGUGCUCAAGCCGUCCUGAUGGCUCAGUCGUUGUGGACCUGUAACUCAGUGUCUUGAACCGAUCACUCCGAUCACCUCUCCGUGGCCUGACGUGCGCAUCCCAUCCGUCGAAAUGAAGGAGGGCCCACGGAGACCGAAGGGCUGUGAUUGGUCCAACCCACGGGGACCGAAGGGCUGUGAUUGGUCCAACCCACGGGGACCGAAGGGCUGUGAUUGGUCCAACCCACGGGGACCGAAGGGCUGUGAUUGGUCCAACCCACGGAGACCGAAGGGCUGUGAUUGGUCCAACCCACGGAGACCGAAGGGCUGUGAUUGGUCCAACCCAUGCUGUUUACCUUGUAGAUGGUUCAGUCGUUGUGGACCUUUACCAGUGUCUUGAAAAAACCAUAUUGUUGCAUGGAGCAAAGCUGAUUGGCCAGUUGGAACAGGAAGUUGGGAAACACUAGUUUAAAUAUGUCUCUCUGUUUGUAAUGUGUAAUACAUUUGUAAUUAAAUGCCCACACACACACACACACACUAGUUUAAAUCUGUCUCUCUGUUUGUAAUGUGUAAUACAUUCUGUAAUUAAAUGCCCACACACACACACACUAGUUUAAAUCUGUCUCUCUGUUUGUAAUGUGUAAUACAUUCUGUAAUUAAAUGCCCACACACACACACACUAGUUUAAAUCUGUCUCUCUGUUUGUAAUGUGUAAUACAUUCUGUAAUUAAAUGUAAUACAUCUCUAAAUGAUCAAAAUGGGUAGUUUGGCUUUGAGAAUGAAUGUAGACCCUAACCCCCCUAAGUACUGUUGAAUGCCCACACACACACACUGUUGAAUGCCCAACCCCACACACACACAGGUUCCUGAGAAGUGCAAGUUAUACACACACACACACCUGAGAGAGGUGCAGGUCUCACACACACACACACACCUGAGAGAGGUGCAGGUUACACACACACACACACAGGCAGGUUCCUGAGAGAGGUGCAGGUUAUACACACACACACACAGAGGCAGGUUACACACACCUGAGAGAGGUGCAGGUUACACACACACACACACACACAGAGGCAGGUUACACACACACACCUGAGAGGUGCAGGUUACACACACACACACAGGCAGGUUCCUGAGAGAGGUGCAGGUUAUACACACACACACAGAGGCAGGUUACACACACCUGAGAGAGGUGCAGGUUACACACACACACACAGAUCAGAUCAGAUGCUAACUGUGCAUUUGACACCUUCCAAUCUGGUUUUCGUUCCAAUCAUAGCACAAACGGCAUUAGUCAAGGUUGUAAAUGAUCUCCGGAUUAAUGCUGACUCCAAAAAAAACAUCUGUCUUGGCCCUUCUGGAUCUGAGCGCAGCUUUUGAUACUGUUGAUCACGAUAUCCUUAUUGAUAGACUUGAAAAUUGGGUUGGCCUCACUGGUCCGGUAGCCUAUCCAACUGGCCGGGAAUACUUUGUUGCCCUCGGAGACCACAGCUCAAAAAACAUUUGUAUGACCUGUGGGGUCCCUCAAGGAUCCAUUUUAGGGCCCUUACUUUUCAGUCUAUACAUGCUACCCCUUAGUCGAUGUUGUGCCUCCUAAUUACACUACCAUCAUAGCUAUGCAGAUGACACCCAGCUCUAUAUUUCUGUAACACCCAACAACUGCAGCUCUGUUGAUUGUUUGGUAAAUUGCAUUUCUGAUAUAAAUGUAUGGAUGUCACAAAACUUCUCCAGCUAAACAAGAUUAAAACAGGUAUUAGUCAUUGGUGAAAAAACGAAAGAGAGAAACUAUCUGCACACUUAAAAACACUAGCACUUAACACCAAGCACCAAGCCAGAAACCUA